CUGCACAUUGUCUACUUUCAAUCAGAGGCUGUGCUGCCUGCAGCAUUGCGCAAGGCAAGGCAGGCAGCAGACGAGGCAAGGCUGGCAACAGAGAAGGCGGAAACGGCACUACGACUGGCGCA
Molecule: non-coding RNA, 122 nt
Filed under: Symbiodinium sp. CCMP2430
Lineage: Eukaryota; Dinophyceae; Suessiales; Symbiodiniaceae
Source: RNAcentral